This 368-nucleotide ribosomal RNA is filed under the name uncultured organism. RNAcentral's name for it is "bacterial LSU rRNA". It matches the Rfam family "Bacterial large subunit ribosomal RNA", at positions 2099 to 2465 of the family's 2925-position model. The record is from RNAcentral.
CUUGACUGUAGCUUGAAAUUGGGUUCGGGCUCUUCUUGCGCAGCCUAGGUGGGAGGCUAUGAAGAUAAACUUUUGGGUUUAUUGGAGCCAUCAGUGAGAGACCACUCUGGAGGAGCUAGAAUUCUAAUGGCGUUCCUUGAAGCAGGACGCUUAACAGUUUCAGGUGGGCAGUUUGACUGGGGCGGUCACCUCCUAAAAGGUAACGGAGGUGUGCAAAGGUUCCCUCAGGCUGGACGGAAAUCAGCCGUAGAGUGUAAAGGCAGAAGGGAGCUUGACUGCAAGACCUACAAGUCGAGCAGGGGCGAAAGCCGGCCUUAGUGAUCCGACGGUUCCGUGUGGAAGGGCCGUCGCUAAACGGAUAAAAGUUA